Molecule: ribosomal RNA, 130 nt
Filed under: Monosporascus cannonballus
Lineage: Eukaryota; Fungi; Ascomycota; Sordariomycetes; Xylariales
Description: partial 28S ribosomal RNA
Source: RNAcentral
GAAGAGGUUUGAAGUUAAUUCAAAUAUUGGUAUAAUUCUAAUCUGAAGAGUCAACUGCUCACUCGAAGUAGGGCAAUGACUCAUGCCCCCACACUGGGAUUUAAAAUCUCACUCUCCACCCCCCCUCCUC